This 56-nucleotide transfer RNA is filed under the name Philometroides sanguineus. RNAcentral's name for it is "tRNA-Ile". The record is from RNAcentral. Lineage: Eukaryota; Metazoa; Nematoda; Chromadorea; Rhabditida; Philometridae.
GCUUUUAUAGUUUAUAAUUAAAAUUUGGUUUUGAUAAGACUAAGAUUGUGAAAGUA